UACGUAGGGUGCAAGCGUUGUCCGGAAUUAUUGGGCGUAAAGCGCGUGUAGGCGGCUCGGUAAGUCUGCUGUGAAAGUCCAGGGCUCAACCCUGGAAUGCCGGUGGAUACUGUCGAGCUCGAGUCCGGAAGAGGCGAGUGGAAUUCCUGGUGUAGCGGUGAAAUGCGCAGAUAUCAGGAGGAACACCGGUGGCGAAGGCGGGUCUCUGGGCAACAACUGACGCUGAGGAGCGAAAGCGUGGGGAGCAAACAGG
This 253-nucleotide ribosomal RNA is filed under the name uncultured bacterium. RNAcentral describes it as "partial 16S ribosomal RNA". It matches the Rfam family "Bacterial small subunit ribosomal RNA", at positions 524 to 776 of the family's 1533-position model. The record is from RNAcentral.